Molecule: ribosomal RNA, 429 nt
Filed under: Hylarana taipehensis (Taipei frog)
Lineage: Eukaryota; Metazoa; Chordata; Amphibia; Anura; Ranidae
Description: partial 12S ribosomal RNA
Rfam family: Bacterial small subunit ribosomal RNA
Source: RNAcentral
UAAAACCCAAAGGAUUUGACGGUGUCCCGCCCACCUAGAGGAGCCUGUUUUGUAAUCGAUGAUCCCCGCUACACCCUACCAUUUUUAGCUCUUCAGUCUGUAUACCUCCGUCGAAAGCCUACCAUGUGAACGUUAUUUAGUAGGCCUAAGGGUCUCCCCCCCCACUAUGUCAGGUCAAGGUGCAGCUCACAAAAUGGAAGCUAAUGGGCUACAAUUUCUAACUUAGAAUAAACGGAAUACUAUGUGAAAUCAUAGUCAUGAAGGCGGAUUUAGUAGUAAAAAGAAAAUAGAGAGUUCUUUUUAACCCGGCUCUGGGACGUGUACAAACCGCCCGUCACCCUCUUCGAUAAAACUGAACUAGUCUAUAACCCAACUACCACACCUUAGAGGAGGCAAGUGUACAUGGUAAGUGUACUGGAAGUGUACUGG